This is an RNA transcript of Quercus lobata, 4263 nucleotides long. It is a transcript of the gene named probable disease resistance protein At4g27220, with no coding region annotated. The record is from RefSeq and is a predicted model, not a curated record. NCBI's taxonomy places the organism in Eukaryota, Viridiplantae, Streptophyta, Magnoliopsida, Fagales, Fagaceae. The transcript is spliced from 6 exons.
UGCAUUGAUCUGAAAAGCAAGUCCACACAAUUUCUUCUUUACUUGCUUCUACAUUUCUUAGUUUCUUCCAACCAAAAGUUUAGCAUUUUUAGCAAGAACGGUUGCUUCGGAUUAUCUUCUUGGCUACUCAUGUGUUUUUUUUUUUUUCCUUCGUAAGAGCAGUAGCAUGACUACAGUCAAUCAGUCUAAAUUCUAAACAUUUGUUGCUAAUUUGGGGAUUUGGCUUUGUUUUUGGAGAGAGAGGACCGGUUCUUCUAUGAUAUAUCUGAUCAAGAUCGUGAAUGACAACAAUCAAACUCCGAGGCUUGUUUGUUUAAAAUUUGCUUCCUUACUUGCAUCAUAUGAUCAACUUGAGUACAUUUUGUGCUGCCAAAGUGUGUUCUUGACAGUUUAAAAGACUUAUGUCACUGAUGCCUCAUUGUUAAAGGCCAUUACCAAGUUUUUGAAUGCCAUGGAGAUGAACGAUAUCUAGAAGCAGAUUUUUAGGACAAUUUGGACAUUACCCAGUUGCAAAACGGACCUUGAGUAAAAGACAACAGAUAUAUUAUAAACAAUAUUCAGAAAACUAUAUGAGUUUGGGGGCCAGGACGGUCUGUGGCCUCUUAUUAUCUCCUCUGCUUCAAUUAGUGUGUAUCCUUUCUUGAAUCAGAGUCUAUCAAGAAGUGUAUGCUUUUCAGACCAGGGUCUUUCCAAUGGAGAUGUUAGGUUCGAUUGUUGGAAACAUAAUAUCUUUAGUAGGAAAAUAUUGCAAUUAUCACAUAGAGGCUGAUGAACAUGUGAAGAAUCUCAAGAGAAAAUCAGAAUUAUUAGAAAGCCGGGAGGAAGACAUAAAAUCAAAAUUGGAUUUAGAACUUCACCCAGGAAAGAAACCAAAGCAAGAAGUUAAACUUUGGCUUCAAAAUGUAGAAAAAAUUAAGGAUGACAUAGACAUUGGACAGGAACCUGCCAGAUGGAUGUUAACCUCACAUAUGCAGAGAGGAGAACGAGCCUUUAAGAAGACAAAAUUGGUGGAAGAACUUUAUCAAGCUGGUGAUUUCACUGAUGGUUUGGUUAUUGAUCUGCCCAAAUGCAUUGGGAAAAUGAUGCCACCACCGACCUUAGUGGGAGAAAGCACAGCCCACAGAACAAAGGAAGAUAUUUUGGCAUGCUUGUUAGAUAAUGAUGUUGGAAAGAUUAGUGUUUAUGGCAUGGGUGGCAUUGGCAAAACGACUGUCAUGAAAGAAGUUAAUAAUUUCUUUUUAAAUGAGUCAAACAAAUUUGAAAGUGUAAUUUGGGUGACUGUAUCAAAGGAAUUUGAUCUUAUCAAACUACAAAAUGACAUUGCCUGCAGGUUGAAAUUAGAACUCCCAAAGUUUGAGGAUGAAAUAAUAAGGGCAGCAGAGUUAUACACAGCAUUGAAAGAUAGGAAGUAUGUGCUAAUCCUAGAUGAUUUGUGGGAAGCAUUUGCUCUUGAGGAUGUAGGAAUUCCAGAGCCUACUUCAACAAAUGGAUGCAAAUUAGUAUUGACGACUUGCCUUCUUGAUGUUUGUCGAGGAAUGAGUUGCAAAGAGAUCAAAAUGGAGCUACUUUUGAAAGAGAAGGCACGAAAGUUGUUUUUAAAUAAAAUGGGUCAUGAUGUUUUUAAUAUUCCAAAUUUGAAACAUAUUGCAGAAGAGGUUCUUAAAAGUUGUGCUCAGUUGCCUCUUGCAAUUAUAAUGAUAGCUGGAAGUUUCAAAAGCUUAUUUCAUGAUUUUGAGUGGAGGAAUGCAUUGGAAGAGUUGAGGACAUCAGUACAGGGGUCUAACAAUAUGGAGGAGCAGGUACUUCAGACACUUAAGUUCAGUUAUGAGCGAUUGAAAGAAGAAAAACUUAAACAGUGUCUGCUGCAUUGUGCACUAUACCCUGAAGACUUUCAAAUUAACAAACGAGAGUUGAUAGAACAUUUGAUUGAUGAGGGAAUUAUUGCAAGAAUGAAGAGUAGAGAAAUAGCUUUUGAUAGUGGCUACUCGAUAUUGGAGAAACUUGAAAAUGCUUGCUUAUUAGAAGGUGGAAGUGAUAAAUAUUAUGAUGAUAAGGAAAAGUUUGUGAAGAUGCAUGAUUUGGUAAGAGACAUGGUUCUGCAGGUUGCAAGUCCUGAAUUUAUGGUAGAAGGUCACUUGGAUUUUUCAGCUGAAGGAAAAUGGAGAGAGAAUCUCGUAAAGGUUUCUUUGAUGUACAACAAAAUAUCAAGAAUUCCUUCUAAUGUAUCACCAAUUUGUCCUAACCUUUCAACCUUGUUGCUACAAGGUAACUGGUCAAUAGAAAAUGUCCCAGAUUCUUUGUUUGAGCAUUUGCAUAGGCUCAAGGUUCUUGAUUUAUCAUAUACUGCUAUUGAAUCUCUGCCGAUUUCUAUCUUUAGCUUGGAGAAUCUUGCUACAUUAAGGCUUAGAAGGUGUGGAAACUUGAAGCAGGUGCCUUCAUUAGCAAAACUUACAACAUUGAGGAAGUUAGACCUUGGGGAAACAGGAAUUACGGAAGUACCUAAUGGUUUAGAAAUGUUGGUCAACUUGGAAUUCCUCGAUCUGAACGCAUAUGAACUAAAAGUAAUGCCACUUGGGAUUUUACCAAAACUUUCUCAUCUACAGUACCUCAAGGUUUAUUGGGGUUCGAAGGCAACAGUAGUGAAUGAAGAGGAGAUGGCAAGCUUAAAGGAAUUGGAGACUUCUGCAGGCAGUUUUGAUGAUGUGGACAAGUUCAAUAUGUAUAUCAAAUCCUUGGAGAACAGGCGACUUUCAUGUUACCAAAUUCAAGUGGGGAUGCGGGGGGAUGGCCCCUACGUAUUUUUUAUACCUUUAUUUGGCUUUAUUGGCAAAAAAGUAAUUUUCGAAAACUGCAAUUUAAAAGGAGGAGAUGAGUCCUUAGUGCUACUGGAAGACCUACAAUUCCUAGAAAUCGGAAGAUGUGACGAUUUAAGAAGUUUAUGUGAUGUUCCAUCUUUGAAGCAUACAAGUAAAUUACAACGCAUAAGUGUAGAUCGGUGCGAAGGAAUAGAGCACGUUCUUUCUUUUUCUUCUUCUUGUACCCUUCCUCUUCUUCAAACUCUCGAGACAUUAGAGCUUGUGUGUUCGGAUAGCUUACGAGUCUUGUUUAAGAAAGAGAGAGCUGCAUCGGCAUGGGUCCCAUCUGACACCUUUUCCCGUCUCAAAAUAAUUUAUAUAAGCUUCUGUUCUAAGAUAAAGAAGUUGCUUCCGCCUGGGUUGCUGCCACACCUGCGCAACCUGGAAGAGAUUCAUAUCGACUAUUGUUUGGAAGUAGAGGAAAUAAUAGGAGAAGCAAGUGAUGAAUUUGAAGAAAAAAAGGAGGAAGGAAUGGACACUACCAAAAUCACUCUCCCCAAAUUGAGGGUUUUACAAUUGCAUGACCUAUAUGGACUGAAGACCAUUUGUAGUAGCAGUAAAGUAAUAGUUUGUGAUUCUCUUGAAUGGAUUCAGAUAUGUAGCUGUCCGAAGCUGAAGAGACUCCCUCUCUCUCUGCCCCUUCUUAGUAAUGGACAACUAUCUCCUCCCCCUUCUCUUAAAAAGAUUUCAGCAAGAGAAGCGUGGUGGGAAUUGCUAGAGUGGGACUGUCCUAACACUAAGAAUGUCCUUCAACCCUUUCUUUUGUAGUAGCUAAUUACGAAGCACGGGUAUGUCUCUCUCUUCACUCUCACAAUCAAUUUGUAGUUUUCGUACUUUAUCUUCCUAUCUUUUCUCUAAUAUAUUUCUGAAAUUCCCUUUAAUGCCCCUGUUACGUCUAGACCAACCAUCUAUUAAUCAUAUCUUCCCUGUAAGUAAGACCAAAUGUGUAUGUGCUCUUUACUUCCUUGUCAGUCUUGUAAAAUUGGUUUCACAAGUGGUUUUAUUUUCCCGUUUUGGUUUGAUAUAGGAUUGGCUGACAAACCAAAGCUGACAUGAAAUGAAAUGUUUCUAUGGUGUGUGCAAGUGCCAACAAGGAGAACUUCACUCUCAAACGAUAUGUAGCCAAGUUAAAGCUGACAUGAAAUGUUUCUGUGGUGUGUGCGAGUGAGAUUGCGAGCAAGGAGAACUUCACUCUUAAAAAGUAUUUAUGUGUGAUUUUAUUCCUCGUCUUCUUAUUUGCUUAUUAUUAUAAACUCUGUUGUGUUAUGAAUGUGUGUUUCUCUUUCCAUAAGUUGAACAAUCUUCUGUAAUAAUCGAUACUCUGCGUAAUUUGUGUUGAUACUCACUUUCUGUUUCUCUUUGCUCUGUUGGCUUGUGGAGAAAAAUAAUACAGAGAAAUUUUUUAUGA